AGGGAACGUGAUACAUAAAGUCCAUAAAAUCUAUUAAUUCAUUCUCAUAAAAUUUGUAGUAAAAAGAAAAAAAAAAAAAAAAACAGAGAAAAUCCUUUUGGGGGAAGGAGUGACCACAACUUCAAUUCCAACCACAAUAUUUGGAAUCUCCAACAGCUAAAGUUUAAUUAAGAUCUGAAUGUCUUGUAGCUUAUUUACUCCCACAUGAGGGCCACAGAAUGAUUAGACUCUAGUUGUUUCUUUUUUUUUUUUUGGGCUGGGGGGGGGGGGGGGCUUAUUGAAGUAUGCAUGCAUACUGCAGGCAGCCAAUUAAGGUGGGACUAGGGCGUGAGUCAUAUGACCCUUUGUUGGUCUAAGAUGUGAACUGUGUGUGAGCUACAAGACAGAAGCAAGUUGUCUGCAUGGACCAGCCAUAUCUCUUGCGCACAAAUUAUUACUGAUCUGUUGAUAUCUAUAUCUAAUGCCAAUCUUUAUGAUAACCCCAGCAUUCAGUGUCACUCGAUAUAUGAACAACAACUGCACGCACACAUGAUGAGAUGUGGUCACUACCCAGCAGUAAAAUCCAGAUUUUAGUUCCUCGAGAAGCCAGCCAUAAUAUAUUCGAAUUUUAUGUAGCUCGUAAUUAGUCAAUUUUGAGGGUUAAAAAAAAUGUAAAUUUACAUGAAAUGAUUAAAUAUCAUUAAAACAUUUUAUAUUUCCUCCAGUUUUUGGGGCCUGGUUCAGCCCUCGUUUGUAGUUUGUUUCAAUGCUCAUGUAUAAGUGAUAUUAAAAUUGUAAAUUAACCGACUUAGGUCCUAUUUGGAAUUGAGGUACUGUAGUUUUUAAGCUACCGUUGCGGUGGAAAAAAAAAU
Molecule: long non-coding RNA, 851 nt
Filed under: Citrus x clementina
Lineage: Eukaryota; Viridiplantae; Streptophyta; Magnoliopsida; Sapindales; Rutaceae
Description: Citrus clementina (C. clementina) long non-coding RNA (CCLE_LNC002151)
Source: RNAcentral